This 433-nucleotide long non-coding RNA is filed under the name Mus musculus (house mouse). RNAcentral's name for it is "RIKEN cDNA 1810062O18 gene". Lineage: Eukaryota; Metazoa; Chordata; Mammalia; Rodentia; Muridae. The record is from RNAcentral.
UUAGUCAUAUAAGGUUUUUCUCUUUUCCCUGGUAGUGAAGAAGAGAAGAGUUCGUGCUAUGGCGUACCCAUGGACACUGCCUCCCCUGCUAUCCCUCCUGUUCCUGGGCUCGCCUGACCACUUCUUCCUGUAGUUCAUCCAAUUCACUUCUAGAGGUGACCUCCCCAUCUGAGAUAGAAGCAAAGAAGAUCAAUUACCACACCUCCAGAAUCAAGGCGAAUUAUCUGUUAACCUUAUGGUCACGAUGCCAUUUUCCCUUGGAGCUCUCGCUUUCCAGUUUGUUUCAGAUCCCUUUUCAUUAGAAACAGAGAGAGCAGCACAGGCCACGAAUAGUGACGGUGUUUACAGCAUGUAUAUUUUCAAUAUCUCAUGAAUACUAACAGUGUAACUCUUAAUAUGUUUUAAGCAUUUUCAAUAUACUAAGAACAAUUUU